AUGCCCUACGGGAGGCAGCAGUGGGGAAUAUUGGGCAAUGGGCGCAAGCCUGACCCAGCAACGCCGCGUGAAGGAAGAAGGCUUUCGGGUUGUAAACUUCUUUUCUCAGGGACGAAGCAAGUGACGGUACCUGAGGAAUAAGCCACGGCUAACUACGUGCCAGCAGCCGCGGUAAUACGUAGGUGGCAAGCGUUAUCCGGAUUUACUGGGUGUAAAGGGCGUGUAGGCGGGGACGCAACUCAGAUGUGAAAACCACGGGCUCAACCUGUGGCCUGCAUUUGAAACU
This 286-nucleotide ribosomal RNA is filed under the name uncultured bacterium. RNAcentral's name for it is "partial 16S ribosomal RNA". It matches the Rfam family "Bacterial small subunit ribosomal RNA", at positions 333 to 634 of the family's 1533-position model. The record is from RNAcentral.